RNAcentral lists this ribosomal RNA (392 nucleotides) under uncultured Strombidiidae. Its description in RNAcentral is "partial small subunit ribosomal RNA". It matches the Rfam family "Eukaryotic small subunit ribosomal RNA", at positions 30 to 434 of the family's 1831-position model. The record is from RNAcentral. Lineage: Eukaryota; Ciliophora; Spirotrichea; Strombidiidae.
GCUUGUCUCAAAGAUUAAGCCAUGCAUGUCUAAGUAUAAGUAUUAUACAGCGAAACUGCGAAUGGCUCAUUAAAACAGUUAUAGUUUACAUGAUAAUCGAAUUUACAUGGAUAACCGUGGUAAUUCUAGAGCUAAUACAUGCUGGCGUGCCCGACUUUUGCGGAAGGGCGGUAUUUAUUAGAUAACAAGCCAAUAUUCCUCCGGGUCUAUUGUGGUGAUUCAUAAUAACUCGCGGAUCGGUUUACCGAUGCAUCAUUCAAGUUUCUGCCCUAUCAGCUUUGGAUGGUAGGGUAUUGGCCUACCAUGGCUUUAACGGGUAACGGAGAAUUAGGGUUCGAUUCCGGAGAGGGAGCCUGAGAAAUGGCUACCACAUCCAAGGAAGGCAGCAGGUU